This 253-nucleotide ribosomal RNA is filed under the name uncultured bacterium. RNAcentral's name for it is "partial 16S ribosomal RNA". It matches the Rfam family "Bacterial small subunit ribosomal RNA", at positions 524 to 776 of the family's 1533-position model. The record is from RNAcentral.
UACGGAGGGAGCUAGCGUUGUUCGGAAUUACUGGGCGUAAAGCGCGCGUAGGCGGCUUUGUAAGUUAGAGGUGAAAGCCCGGGGCUCAACUCCGGAAUUGCCUUUAAGACUGCAUCGCUAGAAUCCGGGAGAGGGAUGUGGAAUUCCAGGUGUAGCGGUGAAAUGCGCAGAUAUCAGGAAGAACACCCGUGGCGAAGGCGGCUUUCUGGGACGGUACUGACGCUGAGACGCGAAAGCGUGGGGAGCGAACAGG